CAUAGCUCAGUUGGUAGAGCACAUGACUUUAAGAAGUUCUAGAAACGCUCUGGUUCAAAGGUCGCUGGUUCAACUCCUGCUCCAA
This 85-nucleotide transfer RNA is filed under the name Xyrichtys novacula (pearly razorfish). Its description in RNAcentral is "tRNA.Sup". The record is from RNAcentral. Lineage: Eukaryota; Metazoa; Chordata; Actinopteri; Labriformes; Labridae.